This is a long non-coding RNA of Oreochromis niloticus (Nile tilapia), 404 nucleotides long. RefSeq lists it as uncharacterized. The record is from RefSeq and is a predicted model, not a curated record. The transcript is spliced from 3 exons. NCBI's taxonomy places the organism in Eukaryota, Metazoa, Chordata, Actinopteri, Cichliformes, Cichlidae.
UUGGGUAACGGUGCUAACCUCUGUGCUGCCCUGGUAAGAGGAGAACCACUGAGGGAACGCCUUCCGCCCACCGACGCCUCCACCGUGACCUCCACUUCUGAGAGGAAUUGCCUACAGAUCAAGUACGGAGUGUGCCUGAAUGGACAUACAGAACUCCAAGGUUCGGCCCUGCGUUGAGGGUUUUCCCAAAGGGGAGGGCCCGGCGGGCGGUGCCUCACAGCCCUCCGCCUGUGGGAGUGGCCCUUUCUACUAAGGAAGCAAGUUCUGCAUGUCCUGGUGACCCUCCACCUGUUUCAUAGGUCGUUGGACUGUGGCAGGAAGCCGGAGUACAAGGAGAGAACCCACGCAAAACCGGGGAGAACAUGCCAACUCCACACAGAACGAUGGUAGAGCUGAACUCAGGA